Molecule: small nucleolar RNA, 107 nt
Filed under: Helianthus annuus (common sunflower)
Lineage: Eukaryota; Viridiplantae; Streptophyta; Magnoliopsida; Asterales; Asteraceae
Description: Plant small nucleolar RNA R71
Rfam family: Plant small nucleolar RNA R71
About the family: R71 is a member of the C/D box family of snoRNAs containing the C (UGAUGA) and D (CUGA) box motifs. Multiple nearly identical copies of this snoRNA have been identified in Arabidopsis, and it is thought to function as a 2'-O-ribose methylation guide for 18S ribosomal RNA.
Source: RNAcentral
AGGCCGUGAUGGGGACACUUGCCUAAUAGCUCCUUGAACCUUUCCCAAGUUUCAUAUAAGGAUUCCCCGUCCUCUUGUGAGUAUGUAUUAAUUUCAGCCAUUAAUUU